This is a long non-coding RNA of Xiphophorus couchianus (Monterrey platyfish), 1085 nucleotides long. RefSeq lists it as uncharacterized. The record is from RefSeq and is a predicted model, not a curated record. Lineage: Eukaryota; Metazoa; Chordata; Actinopteri; Cyprinodontiformes; Poeciliidae. The transcript has 2 exons.
AUCCUAAACCUUGUAUGAAGAAUCGUAACAACAACGCCUACAACAAGUUUGCUUCCAAACACGUUCUGAAGACGGUGUUUAACACUUCCUCGCCUCCUGCAUGGAAAAAGUACCUGGAAAAGUACAAACUCUGUGACAGACCUCAGCAGUCCUUCGUUGAUAAAGGAGCUCAAAAUCUUUAUGUGAAAAUCUGCAAUGGAUUUGGGAAACGUCUAAGGAUGAACUUGUGCACCAGUACCAGCCCAGUUCGGCUGCAUGAUCUCAAUGUCAGUACGAGUGAUUGCAGCAUUACUUAUCUUUAUAGCGGAGAUAAAUAUGUGACUGUCGCUUGUGACAAAGUCAACAACCGCUGCCUUCCUGUUCACUUUCAAAGCAUCCAAAACAGUGGGCCAAACAGCACAGCUCAGAUCUGUAAGCCAUAAACUAAUCUCUGGUUUGACUUUGGAAACGUCUCCCAGUUUUGGUAAAAAUGCUGUUUUGCUUUGCAGUAUCUCUGUAUCCAGCUUUAGUUCAGCCUUUUUCUGCUUUUAGUUUAGUUGAGUUUAUUUUAUAAACACAUCAGAAAUACCACAUGAUCAAUGAAAGAAAAUGUACAAUUUACAGUUUUCAAUAUUUCAGCGUUGAUGGUUUGAUUUUUAGACCUGAAAACUCAAAAACUAAUUUGUUUUGUAAAACAUCUGGGAGUUUUGGUUGUCAUUUUGAAUUGAGAAGUUUUUCUUUCUUACCUAAUUAGAGUUGCCAUUAAAUUAAGUUAUUAGUCCAUAUGUCCAGAACAUCAAGUCACCAUGACAACCAGCUAUUUACAUGGGGCAACAGAAACGUGACUUAAAUUUAUCUACGUCUCUGAAUCACAUAGAUCCUAUACAUGAGAAAUACUUGAUAUACUUUAGCAUCCCUGAUAAAUAUAUAUGAAGUAACAAUCAUGACAAUAAAAUUUUAUAUUUUACAGCCAAAAAAUUCAACAUUUUCUAAGUGCUGUGAACGACUUUUUGUGUUUAAAUGAUCAUUUUGCUAAAGAUGUUUCCAAAGCUGUGCAGCACGUUGCUUUGUUCUUUGCUUUGCUUUAAUAAAAGUUCAUAAUCAUU